GUGGGGAAUCUUGCGCAAUGGGCGAAAGCCUGACGCAGCCAUGCCGCGUGGAUGAUGAAGGUCUUAGGAUUGUAAAAUCCUUUCACCGGUGAAGAUAAUGACUGUAGCCGGAGAAGAAGCCCCGGCUAACUUCGUGCCAGCAGCCGCGGUAAUACGAAGGGGGCUAGCGUUGCUCGGAUUUACUGGGCGUAAAGGGCGCGUAGGCGGACAUUUAAGUCAGGGGUGAGAUCCCGGGGCUCAACCUCGGAACUGCCUUUGAUACUGGGUGUCUUGAGUAUGAGAGAGGUGUGUGGAACUCCGAGUGUAGAGGUGAAAUUCGUAGAUAUUCGGAAGAACACCAGUGGCGAAGGCGACACACUGGCUCAUUACUGACGCUGAGGCGCGAAAGCGUGGGGAGCAAACAGGAUUAGAAACCCUUGUAGUCC
Molecule: ribosomal RNA, 425 nt
Filed under: uncultured bacterium
Lineage: Bacteria
Description: partial 16S ribosomal RNA
Rfam family: Bacterial small subunit ribosomal RNA
Source: RNAcentral